GGAAGGGUACCGAAGUGGUCAUAACGGCGCUGACUCGAAAUCAGUUGGUCAGGGUAACUUGGCACGUGGGUUCGAAUCCCACUCCUUCCGCCA
This 93-nucleotide transfer RNA is filed under the name Nitrosomonas sp. Its description in RNAcentral is "tRNA-Ser". It matches the Rfam family "tRNA". From Rfam's summary of the family: Transfer RNA (tRNA) molecules are approximately 80 nucleotides in length. Their secondary structure includes four short double-helical elements and three loops (D, anti-codon, and T loops). Lineage: Bacteria; Pseudomonadati; Pseudomonadota; Betaproteobacteria; Nitrosomonadales; Nitrosomonadaceae. RNAcentral also lists the same sequence under 1 other name. The record is from RNAcentral.